GAGUUUGAUCAUGGCUCACAACGUACGCUGGCGGCACGCCUAACACAUGCAAGUCGAACGAGUAGCAAUACUAGUGGCAGACGGGUGAGUAACAUGUAGGUAUCUGCCCUUUGGCCUGGAAUAACACGAGGAAACUUAUGCUAAUACCGGAUAAGUCUUUACGGAGAAAGCUUUAUGCACCAUUGGAUGAGCCUGCACUUGAUUAGUUUGUUGGUGGGGUAAUGGCCUACCAAGACUGUGAUCAAUAGCUGAUUUGAGAGGAUGAUCAGCCACAUUGGGACUGAGACACGGCCCAAACUCCUACGGGAGGCAGCAGUGGGGAAUCUUGCACAAUGGAGGAAACUCUGAUGCAGCGAUGCCGCGUGAGUGAAGAAGGCCCUUGGGUUGUAAAGCUCUUUCGUCGGGGAAGAAAAUGACUGUACCCGAAUAAGAAGGUCCGGCUAACUUCGUGCCAGCAGCCGCGGUAAUACGAAGGGACCUAGCGUAGUUCGGAAUUACUGGGCUUAAAGAGUUCGUAGGUGGUUGAAAAAGUUGGUGGUGAAAUCCCAGAGCUUAACUCUGGAACUGCCAUCAAAACUUUUCAGCUAGAGUAUGAUAGAGGAAAGCAGAAUUUCUAGUGUAGAGGUGAAAUUCGUAGAUAUUAGAAAGAAUACCAAUUGCGAAGGCAGCUUUCUGGAUCAUUACUGACACUGAGGAACGAAAGCAUGGGUAGCGAAGAGGAUUAGAUACCCUCGUAGUCCAUGCCGUAAACGAUGUGUGUUAGACGUUGGAAAUUUAUUUUCAGUGUCGCAGCGAAAGCGAUAAACACACCGCCUGGGGAGUACGACCGCAAGGUUAAAACUCAAAUGAAUUGACGGGGACCCGCACAAGUAGUGGAGCAUGUGGUUUAAUUCAAAGAUACGCGCAGAACCUUACCAACACUUGACAUGUCCGUCGCGACUUUAAGAGAUUAAAGUUUUCGGUUCGGCCGGACGAAACACAGGUGCUGCAUGGCUGUCGUCAGCUCGUGUCGUGAGAUGUUGGGUUAAGUCCCGCAACGAGCGCAACCCUCACUUUUAGUUGCCAUCAUUAAGUUGGGCACUCUGAAAGAACUGCCAGUGAUAAGCUGGAGGAAGGUGGGGAUGACGUCAAGUCCUCAUGGCCCUUACGUGUUGGGCUACACACGUGCUACAAUGGUAUCUACAACAGGAAGCAAGACGGCGACGUUAAGCAAAUCCUUAAAAGAUACCUCAGUUCGGAUUGCACUCUGCAACUCGAGUGCAUGAAGCUGGAAUUACUAGUAAUCGUGGAUCAGCGUGCCACGGUGAAUGCGU
Molecule: ribosomal RNA, 1313 nt
Filed under: unidentified marine bacterioplankton
Lineage: Bacteria
Description: bacterial SSU rRNA
Rfam family: Bacterial small subunit ribosomal RNA
Source: RNAcentral